UAAUACGGAGGGUGCAAGCGUUGUCCGGAUUUAUUGGGUUUAAAGGGUACGUAGGCGGCCAAUUAAGUCAGUGGUGAAAGCCAGCAGCUCAACUGUUGAACUGCCAUUGAUACUGAUUGGCUCGAGUUCUAUUAAGGUAGGCGGAAUUGAUGGUGUAGCGGUGAAAUGCAUAGAUACCAUCAGGAACACCGAUUGCGAAGGCAGCUUACUAGGCAGAAACUGACGCUAAUGUACGAAAGCGUGGGGAUCGAACAGGAUUAGAUACCCUGGUAGUCCACGCCGUAAACGAUGCUCACUCGCUGUUGGCGAUACACAGUCAGCGGCCAAGCGAAAGCGUUAAGUGAGCCACCUGGGGAGUACGCUCGCAAGAGUG
RNAcentral lists this ribosomal RNA (373 nucleotides) under uncultured Bacteroidota bacterium. Its description in RNAcentral is "bacterial SSU rRNA". It matches the Rfam family "Bacterial small subunit ribosomal RNA", at positions 521 to 896 of the family's 1533-position model. The record is from RNAcentral. Lineage: Bacteria; Pseudomonadati; Bacteroidota.